AAUGAUGAUGACAACGAUGACAACAGCAUAACGACAGACGAGAACAACGACAACAACAAGAACAAGAACAACAAUAACAAUAGAGACUACAACAACAAUGGCGACAACAUCGGCGACCACAAUAACCACAACAACGACGAAGAUGACGACGACGAUGACGACAACAAGAACAAAAACAACAACAAAAACAACAACAACAACAACAACAACAACAACAACAAC
This 222-nucleotide long non-coding RNA is filed under the name Hordeum vulgare. RNAcentral's name for it is "long non-coding RNA (HVUL_LNC021017)". The record is from RNAcentral. Lineage: Eukaryota; Viridiplantae; Streptophyta; Magnoliopsida; Poales; Poaceae.